AGUUUUCUUCGGGGCAGGGUGAAAUUCCCGACCGACGGUGUUGUUGUCUCGUUGAUUGUUACUUGCUUUUAUUUCUCGCUGAUGUUUCGUUAUGCCUGUGAGGAGAAGCAAUUACCAAUCAACUUUAUUGAAAAAUGAGAGAGCUAAGUCCGUGAGCGCAAGCUGAUCUGGUGUGAUUCCAGAGCCGACAGUAUAGUCUGGAUGGGAGAAGAAUUGA
This is a non-coding RNA of Streptococcus sp. HSISB1, 217 nucleotides long. The record is from Rfam. NCBI's taxonomy places the organism in Bacteria, Bacillati, Bacillota, Bacilli, Lactobacillales, Streptococcaceae.